GGCUCUUUGCAAAAAUCCCAUAGGGAGUCUUCCCUGCCCAGUGAUGUAUUUAUUUAACGGCCGCGGUACUCUGACCGUGCGAAGGUAGCAUAAUAAUUUGUCCUAUAAUUGGGGACUGGAAUGAAUGGUUUGACGAAAGUAAUACUGUCUCUUUUUAAUUUAAUAGAAUUUUACUUUUAGGUGAAAAGGCCUAAUUUUUAUUAUUAGACAAGAAGACCCUAUCGAGCUUAUAAGAAUUUUUAUGGUCUAAAGUUUAUAUUUAUAAAUAAAUUUCCAUAAAGAAUUUUUGGUUGGGGCGACUAAGGAACAAAAAAAGCUUCCUUUAUAAAAGAAAACUUACGGGUUUUGAUCCAGUUUUACUGAUUAAAGGAAAUAGUUACCGUAGGGAUAACAGCAUUAUCUUUUUUGAGAGUUCUUAUUGAAAAGAAGGUUUGUGACCUCGAUGUUGAAUCAGAAUAUCCUGAAGAUGCAGAAGUCUUUAAUGGUGGGUCUGUUCGACCAUUAAAAAUUCU
This 512-nucleotide ribosomal RNA is filed under the name Ergaea walshi. RNAcentral's name for it is "partial 16S ribosomal RNA". It matches the Rfam family "Bacterial large subunit ribosomal RNA", at positions 1825 to 2597 of the family's 2925-position model. The record is from RNAcentral. Lineage: Eukaryota; Metazoa; Mollusca; Gastropoda; Littorinimorpha; Calyptraeidae.